AUCGAUCUGACGAGUCGCAAACAGGACGAAACAUAAGUCCUAGAU
Non-coding RNA from Schistosoma mattheei, 45 nucleotides. The record is from Rfam. NCBI's taxonomy places the organism in Eukaryota, Metazoa, Platyhelminthes, Trematoda, Strigeidida, Schistosomatidae.